RNAcentral lists this long non-coding RNA (1223 nucleotides) under Homo sapiens (human). RNAcentral describes it as "HSALNT0107558". The record is from RNAcentral. Lineage: Eukaryota; Metazoa; Chordata; Mammalia; Primates; Hominidae.
GGGAAAGCAUGCUGUCAUGUGGUGAGCAUGCUGUGGCUUCUGGCCAACAGCAAGCAAGGAACUGAGGUGGACCAACAAGCAUAGACAACAAUGACAUUAAAGAAGAGAAAAGGAGGAGAUGAGGGAAAGCUCUUCUUUGUGGAAGAAAGCCAGCUAAUAAACAAGAAAUGAUCACCAUUUUUACAAUUAAAUAUUAAUAACUCAUUCAGUCCAACUGAUUGCAGCAUGAUCUGCCACCAACCAAAGAACACCAAGUAUGAGUUACUGCUACGCUUCUGCAGACAUUAUACACACCAAGUAUUUCGACUGAACCUCAGAGCUGACAUGCAAAAUAGAAUCAUUAUGACAAUCUGAAGCCUUUUACCAUCUCUUUAUUUUUCAUUUACCACAAUCAUAUUAUUCAGUUCUGAUUAUACAGAGUAGAUGACCUUUAGCUUACCUCCACUCUCUCCUGAAAACACAUUACGUUGACAGUAAUGGAAUCUGUGUUUAGGGUACAUACUUACCAACAAGGAGAAAGGAAAAGGAGUUGAGAAGAACAAGGGCAUUUGGUAGCUGGAAAACCCAAGAACAAGUUGUACCUGACUCAACAGAGAGGUGACCACUAAGCCAGCAGCCAGGAAAGCUGAGAGAAGCAAUCUGAUUCAUACCUUGAAACCCCACAAAAACCUCACCAGAAAAGGAUAGCAGCAGGUAGCCAUGAAAGCUGGGGUGGGGUGGGCCUUGACACAGAAAGGACAAGUCUAAGACAGAGAUUCCUCUCCCUUGCCCAACCCCCAGGAGGCUGGAGGUUUAUUCUCUGGAGAGAGUCAAAGAGACAGGGGCUCUAAUCAGCAUGACAAGAGACAUAAAUGAGAAAGGCAAAUUAAGCAUGCCUUCACAUCCUAAAAGUCAUCCUCCAGCCAUCUUCUGCCAAAUCAGCUUCCAAAAGUGGAGUUGAAAAGAGUACUCUCUAAGGAAUAUGACCAGCCCAAGAGAAAAGAUCCCAAGAUUCUGAUCCCAGGAGUUCCCCCACUGCAAUGACCCAGCCAGAUCCUAUGGUAAAGGCUAAGGUUGAGAAGUCCACCACACAGAUAGCGAGUCCAUAAUUAGCUUUUAAACAUAAAUAGGUACAUAGCCAAGGAAGGCUUCUGAGCAAAGCCCCUUAUAGGAAAAACCAGGAGGCCAAAACAAGUAACAGAUUUUCAAAAAGUAAUUUAGAGGAAACAGAGCAAGGAAGGGAG